Molecule: ribosomal RNA, 194 nt
Filed under: uncultured bacterium
Lineage: Bacteria
Description: partial 16S ribosomal RNA
Rfam family: Bacterial small subunit ribosomal RNA
Source: RNAcentral
CCUACGGGAGGCAGCAGUGGGGAAUAUUGGACAAUGGGCGCAAGCCUGAUCCAGCAAUGCCGCGUGUGUGAAGAAGGCCUUCGGGUUGUAAAGCACUUUCAGUAAGGAGGAAGGCUCAAAGGCUAAUACCCUUUGGGAUUGACGUUACUCACAGAAGAAGCACCGGCUAACUCCGUGCCAGCAGCCGCGGUAAU